GAAAGUGUAUAAAUAUUGUCCGACAUUAAAAGUUUAUUAUCCAGUUUUCUAGGUGAAAGUCAAGACGCUAACUUGACACACUCGUUUCGAAACGCAGCUGUUUAAAGUUUCAAGUAUCCAUCUACGAGUAUGAAUUUGAAAUCUAUUUUAUGUAUGUAUUUUCAAGAAGAAACGUAGUUGGUAUUUUGUGAACAUUAAACCACGGGAUAGAGCAGAAUCUUUUGAAAAUGCAGCUUAGAUUGGUUUUCGCAAUCGUCUUGCGUAUUAUAUUUACUUACGGACGGCGAAGUCGAUGGCAGCUUCAACGUUGGAACCUCUCUUAAGGUCACAAGGAAGCUUGCUGCAGCCCACGAUGUUGACAUUCUUGGGAGCCGGACCAUUCGCGCAGAGCUCGUGCGGCGACUGCAUGGAGUCGGCGAUGCAGAAAGCUGCGAUGACGAGAACUGCAAUCACCGGAGACAUUUCGUUUCGUUAUUACAGAACUACCGUACUCCCCUGAAAUAUCUUGGAGUUUUCAAAUUUAUUGGCAAUCCGAGGGUUCUAUGUGUUCCGUGCGCACUCUAGUUAAUAAACUAUGCGACAAAGUUUUUCGCAGUGCUGUGCGUGAAAAUUGCGGCAUCGAGAGAUCACUAAGAGGAAACGUAUUUUCAUUUAGUAUGCACGACAAAUUGUGCAAAUUGCUAAGCUUUAAGAAGACUAAAAAGUUGGUAGACUAGUUUAUAAAAAAAUCUGCGCUUUUAUAAACAUGUGCAGUAUAGUUGUUGCAGUCUUUGAGAAUAAUAUUUAAUAAUAAUAAUAUUUAAUAUAUUUGUUAUAUCUGAUGGUAAUGGUAAUUUUCAGUAAUAGUUACUUACCGUAGUGGAUGAAUGCCAUUUUACUGGUUGUUGCGACUUGGAGACAACUGAUAACUGCUCCAUCCAAACAGCCGGUAUUUAUUUCGUGGUGCUAUCUAAUCGAUUGGACGGGGGCAGUGGCAAUCGUCAUAAGAAAUAUUCAAAAACACUUGAAAUCGUACACCUGACACCGGCAGACAAUGAGCACCCGUUAGUUUACCGAUAAAGACUAAAUGGAAAGUCUUAAAAUAUCUCCAACGAAUUGAGCUCGAUAUUAGAUCGGAAAAAUCGUCGAUUUUCUUUGAUAAACAACAAUGUGUCAAGAGCCUCUCAAAUAGAUCCAACAGUCACAUUUUAUGUUAUCGAAGAAUCCACAUUAUUAGACAACGAUCGUAAUAUUGAAGAUUCAAUAAUUAUAUCUUAUUCUCUCAAUCCUUGGUCGAGAAUUUAUCAUGUUAAAAGGUGGGAACUCUAUGUUAAUAAAUAAUGAAC
Megalopta genalis is the source of this 1325-nucleotide non-coding RNA. The record is from RefSeq and is a predicted model, not a curated record. Lineage: Eukaryota; Metazoa; Arthropoda; Insecta; Hymenoptera; Halictidae.